UCUGCCCCGGCUUGUCAGAAGGGGCAGUUUACAAGUUGAAAAAAAAUGUGACGACAGGAAGUUCAUCCGCAUGUCGAAAACGGCAGCAGUGAAGAGAGGUGGGGUAAAAUCACAGCGAUCGGCAUGGCAGGCGAUACGGAGGCGCGCCUGGAGGAUCCGCCGUGCGGUCAGUGUGUGAACCGGCAGCCUUUUCUCAUCGGGGUGGCCGGAGGCACAGCCAGCGGCAAGUCAUCAGUCUGCGGCAAGAUUAUGGAGCUGCUGGGCCAGAACAAGAUUGACCACGAUCAGAGACAGGUGGCCAUCCUCAGUCAGGACAGCUUCUACAGGGUGCUGACCCCAGAGCAGAAGGCCAGGGCACUGAAGGGUCAGUUCAACUUUGACCAUCCAGACGCAUUUGACAAUGAGCUUAUCAAGGAGACCCUACAGGAAAUCCUGCAAGGGAAUGAAGUGCAGAUCCCAGUGUAUGACUUUGUCACCCAUUCCAGGAAGGACGAGUGUGUGACGAUUUACCCGGCGGAUGUGGUGCUCUUCGAGGGGAUCCUGACCUUCUACUCCAAGGACAUUCGGGACUUAUUUCAGAUGAAGCUCUUUGUGGACACGGAUGCUGACACUCGUCUCUCCCGUAGAGUGUUGCGGGACAUCAGUGAGAGGGGUCGGGACCUGGAGCAGGUGUUAACGCAGUACAUCACCUUCGUCAAGCCCGCCUUUGAAGAGUUUUGCCUCCCGACAAAGAAGUUUGCAGAUAUUAUCAUCCCACGUGGAGCACAUAACCUUGGCAGGGUUUGGCUGGUGUUUUACGUGACCGUGCUCAGGUCCCCCGACAUGGCUGCGGUGUGUGAGGGGAAAAGCUCUGACUGACCUUAUUUAGUCAGAGGGCCAUGGCAGUUGGGGAGGCAUUGUGAGGCUGGGCGAUGGCGACUGGUGAUUGUGAAAUGGAGGAGCUCAUGUAUGCUGAAGCAGUAACGUCACCUCAGUCCAGAAAUACCUCGUGGCCAUCAACCUAAUUGUGCAGCACAUCCAGGACAUCUUAAACGCUGACUGAGGAAGAAGCGCAGUGGCUACAGCUCAUCCAAGAAGCCCGAGAUCUCAGAGUCCGACAGUCGGCUGCAUUGAACCCGGCGCUUGCCUCUUUCCGUCUGCUUUGUGUUAUAAGACGAUAUCGAUCAGGAGACGUGCAAUCUCUGCCUGGCUUUUCUUGCUGUUUUUUUUUUAAUUUUAUUUUGUAUAUUUGCUUGCCUAUAUGAUUCGUGCACUGGAGCAGUCAGAAUUCAAGGCCGGACAUUUAGUGUUUCACCUGCUGGUGUUUGCUGACGUGAGAAAAGUCAGGAGAAUGUCCUGGAUGGGUUUGGUGACCUUUCAUGUGGACCCAGUUUCUUAUUCCCUUUAGCCAAUAAUUGGUCAUUUUUACUGUGGCAUGAAGCAGGAAUAAACAUGAUUGGAAUGCAAUAAAUCUGAUAUCACAAUUGCCAGUUUGCUGGAAAGAAAUUGGAAGGAUGUUUUCGUUGUUGCUGGUGGUAAUGAUGUUGUCCAUGAUCCAGUCCGACUGGUGCCAAUACGGCUUCAAUCUCCUAGAUUUACCAAAUACUUUACUUUUACUCUUCCAUGUCGUUCUUGAAAUUCAGCAGCGUCUGAGAAACACGGAUUGCGUGCAACAGUAUGAAGCAAAUCCCUCCCUUUUAUUCCACAUGCUUGUUCAUGUGGUGCUAGAAAAGGGAAUUAGGGCCAUGGAAUGAAGAAAGACACCUUUUCAUGAGUGGUUGUGUUACUCUAAAUGGUAUUCGGAAAUGUGAUGUCACCAAACCUUUGCCGCUUAAACUCACUUCUGGAACGAUGUGACAUUUUAGGAGUGGCAGCAGAUAAAAAUGACUCCUUUCACUGAGUGCCUAGGAAGCCUUAUAUCAUGUGUGCCUGCGCUCAUGUACACAUCUGCAAGUGGCUUGGUUUUCUUAUUUUUGUAUCAGCUUGUACUAUUUGGUAUUGGGACAUGAUAUCCAUGAUAUUUGGAGAAAUUUGCCAAAGUUGUAUAUAUUAGUGAAAAUUCAAAGACAAUCUGUGGUCAGCAUUUUUCAUCAUUUAAUUGUAUUUUAUAUUUUUUGUUUUUCAGCUUAAAAAUCUGUAUUGUAUGUACUUAUUGAGCAAUAAUUUAUAAUUAUUUUUACAUUUUACUUUAAGCAUGAUGUUGCUUGUUUCAAGAAAUGGCAUACUUCGUUUCUGAACCAGGAGUGGACUUGUGAUAUAAUAAACCUUACUUGUCCAACCCA
Brienomyrus brachyistius is the source of this 2261-nucleotide RNA transcript. It is a transcript of the gene named uridine-cytidine kinase 2-A-like, with no coding region annotated. Lineage: Eukaryota; Metazoa; Chordata; Actinopteri; Osteoglossiformes; Mormyridae. The record is from RefSeq and is a predicted model, not a curated record. The transcript is spliced from 9 exons.